AUGUGGUUCUUCGACUGGAUUGACUUUGGCGCAAAUAAUGUCGAGCCGCACAUUGUCCCCCGCAUCAGUGUUUACACGGGACAGAUAUGCAGGAGGCUAAUCUACCUGAUAAGGGGGUACCCAAAUAUAUUCACUACAAAGCCUUAUGAUGCAUUCAACCCGCUUGAUGAUGUUUGGCACGGUGUAGUCGGAGAGCCUGGUGGAUUCCUACAACAGCCAGAACAAUUAGGUGCACUCCGAUCAGCUCUGGUUCUCAUUUCUGCCAGCCAGCAAGAUGCCAUGGUGUCUGACCAAGUGCAAAGGGGAGAUGGGCCAGCAUAUGACUCCAGACGAGUUGCUGCCGUCCAGCAGGACGACAUGUUGUCUGGCCAAGGGCAAGUGGGACAGAAGGCAGCAUAUGACUACCAAAGCGUUGCUAAUCAUAGCAAGCUCUCCGCUGCAAAAGGGAAGUGGGCAACGGAUGAUAGCUCGGACUCAUCGAGCAGCGAUAGUGACGACGAACCGGUCGAUCCAAGUGUUCGUCUUGCUAGGAGAUUGGAAGAAGCUGAUAGGAGAGGUGAACGCAUAGAACCACGGGAUGACCGCGGGGACACAAGGAUUAAUGAUGUUGUGUGGAGUGCCCGUGUGACAGGCAUGUGCUUGCGCGACGAAUGA
Molecule: ribosomal RNA, 654 nt
Filed under: Triticum aestivum (bread wheat)
Lineage: Eukaryota; Viridiplantae; Streptophyta; Magnoliopsida; Poales; Poaceae
Description: partial small subunit ribosomal RNA
Source: RNAcentral